RNAcentral lists this ribosomal RNA (486 nucleotides) under uncultured bacterium. Its description in RNAcentral is "partial 16S ribosomal RNA". It matches the Rfam family "Bacterial small subunit ribosomal RNA", at positions 28 to 507 of the family's 1533-position model. The record is from RNAcentral.
AUUGAACGCUGGCGGCAUGCCUAACACAUGCAAGUCGAACGGAAGCACGGAUGUUGGCCCUUGAUUGAGCGGCGCACGGGUGAGUAAUACCUAUGGAACCGUCUCCUGGAGUGGGGUAACGUCCGGCAAAAGGCGGUUAAAUCCCGCACGCCCUGUGCGCGGAAGAGGGGGGGCUCCGGAGCUCCCGCGAUCAGGGGUUGGCCGGUGGCUUAUGGGCUUGUUGGGGGGGUAAAGGCCUACCAAGGCGACGACGAGUAACUGGUCUGAGAGGGCGACCAGGCACACUGGGACUGAGACACGGCCCAGACUCCUACGGGAGGCAGCAGUGGGGAAUGUUGGACAAUGGGCGAAAGCCUGAUCCAGCGAUGCCGCGUGUGUGAAGAAGGGCUUCGGGUUGUAAAGCACUUUUGGCCGGGAAGAAGGGCAUUGAGCUAAUACCGUCCUGGUAUGACGGUACCGGAAGAAUAAGCACCGGCUAACUACGUG